RNAcentral lists this ribosomal RNA (220 nucleotides) under uncultured bacterium. Its description in RNAcentral is "partial 16S ribosomal RNA". It matches the Rfam family "Bacterial small subunit ribosomal RNA", at positions 524 to 743 of the family's 1533-position model. The record is from RNAcentral.
CACGUAGGGCGCAAGCGUUGUCCGGAAUUAUUGGGCGUAAAGAGCUCGUAGGCGGUCUGUUGCGUCCGCUGUGAAAACUCGGGGCUUAACCCCGAGCCUGCAGUGGAUACGGGCAGACUAGAGGUAGGUAGGGGAGAAUGGAAUUCCCGGUGUAGCGGUGAAAUGCGCAGAUAUCGGGAGGAACACCGGUGGCGAAGGCGGUUCGCUGGGCCUUACCUGA